RNAcentral lists this ribosomal RNA (253 nucleotides) under uncultured bacterium. RNAcentral's name for it is "partial 16S ribosomal RNA". It matches the Rfam family "Bacterial small subunit ribosomal RNA", at positions 524 to 776 of the family's 1533-position model. The record is from RNAcentral.
UACGUAGGGUGCAAGCGUUAUCCGGAUUCACUGGGUUUAAAGGGUGCGUAGGUGGUUUUGUAAGUCAGUGGUGAAAGCCCGGAGCUCAACUCCGGAACUGCCAUUGAUACUGCUUAACUUGAAUCAAGUAGAGGUGGAUGGAAUAUUACAUGUAGCGGUGAAAUGCUUAGAGAUGUAAUAGAACACCAAUUGCGAAGGCAGUUCACUAUGCUUGUAUUGACACUGAGGCACGAAAGCGUGGGGAUCAAACAGG